UACAGAGGGGGCAAGCGUUAUUCGGAAUUAUUGGGCGUAAAGGGCGCGUAGGCGGCUUGGCAAGUGGAUGGUGAAAUCCCUCGGCUUAACCGAGGAACUGCCGUCCAAACUGCUUUGCUUGAGGCCGGGAGAGGCGAGUGGAAUUCCCAGUGUAGCGGUGAAAUGCGUAGAUAUUGGGAAGAACAUCGGUGGCGAAGGCGCUCUGCUGGACCAUAACUGACACUCAGGGACGAAAGCUAGGGGAGCGAAUGGG
This 253-nucleotide ribosomal RNA is filed under the name uncultured bacterium. RNAcentral's name for it is "partial 16S ribosomal RNA". It matches the Rfam family "Bacterial small subunit ribosomal RNA", at positions 524 to 776 of the family's 1533-position model. The record is from RNAcentral.